AAAUGGUUUUAUUCUAGCCAAUUUAAUUAUGAUAAAUUAGUUUGACAUGGGAAGUAAUUGUUUAGAAAAGUUUAUUAUCCAGUCUUUGGGAUUUUACAAUUAAUUUAAUUUAGAUAGAGCUAAUUUUAUUAAUGUUGGAAUAAAGUGUGCCAGCAUCCGCGGUUAGACACGAAAUGUGAAUAAUUAAUAUUAGUUAGAGUAAAAAGUUAUUUUAAUGGGUAGGAUUAAUUAGUUUUGGUGAAAUAUUAUUAGUUAGGGGUAUUAAAAUUUAUAUUUGAAGCUUAGGAAAUAAUGUAAGAAACUAGGAUUAGAUACCCUAUUAUUAUUAAUUAGAUUGGGAAAGAUAGAGGUAGUAUUAGAUACAGGCUUGAAACCUAAAGAAUUUGGCGGUGUUUUAGUCCGUUCAGAGGAAUCUGUUCCAUAAUCGAAAAUACACGAUAAUAAGUACUUGAUUUAUUUAGUUUGUAUACCGCCGUCGUAAGAAUGUUUUAAGGAGAGGAGGAAUUUUCUUUAAAUGUGAAUUUAUUGUAUGUCAGGUCAAGGUGCAGCUUAUAGUUAAGAGGAAAUGGAUUACAAUAAAAUGAUUAUUUAUAACGGAAUGUUAAUAGAAUUACAUAUUUAAGGAGGAUUUGAAAGUAAACUUAGUUUUAUUUAAGUUGAUUUAGGCUCUAAAACAUGCACACAUCGCCCGUCACUCUCAUUAUAGGUGAGAUAAGUCGUAACAGAGUAGAUGUAUUGGAAAAUGUAUCUAGAAUGUC
RNAcentral lists this non-coding RNA (758 nucleotides) under Dianemobius fascipes nigrofasciatus. The record is from RNAcentral. Lineage: Eukaryota; Metazoa; Arthropoda; Insecta; Orthoptera; Trigonidiidae.